UAUUAGUCAAUGCUCGCAAGAGUGAACGAGCUAACUGAAAGAAUAUACAAUCUAAAGUUAGGAAACUUAUAAUUUUAUUAUAAGUUUAAAGACUAAUCUAACUAACAGUGUCGUCCAAAUGCUGGUGCCAGAAGACUCGGUAAUACCAGAGACGCGAACGUUAAUCAUCUUGAAUGGGCAUAAAGGGUUUGUAGGCGGCUUAUUUAUUAAUAGGCUAGAAUCUUAUAGAGGUUAAUAAAAUACUUAGAGGAGGGCUGAUAUCCUUAGAUCCUAAGUGGAAUCCUAAUUGCGAAGGCCAUUUUCCACUACAGAUUGACGCUGAGACACGAAGGUUAGGAUAGGAACUAGGAUUAGAGACCCUAUUACCCCUAACUGUAAACGAUGAAUGGAAGAUAUUUACAACUGUAAGUGUCGAAGUGAAUACGAUAACCAUUCCGCCUUGCCAGUAUACUUGCAAAAGUGAAAACAAAAAAAUUAGUCGGUCCUAAAGCAAACGAAGUGAAGCAUGUUAUUUA
RNAcentral lists this ribosomal RNA (515 nucleotides) under Cantharellus violaceoflavescens. RNAcentral's name for it is "partial small subunit ribosomal RNA". It matches the Rfam family "Bacterial small subunit ribosomal RNA", at positions 362 to 948 of the family's 1533-position model. Lineage: Eukaryota; Fungi; Basidiomycota; Agaricomycetes; Cantharellales; Hydnaceae. The record is from RNAcentral.